AUUGUCAAGGACUAUGCUCUUGGUGCAGCAGCCGCGGUAAUUCCAGCUCCAAUAGCGUAUAUUAAAGUUGUUGCAGUUAAAAAGCUCGUAGUUGAACCUUGGGUCUGGCUGGCCGGUCCGCCUCACCGCGAGUACUGGUCCGGCUGGACCUUUCCUUCUGGGGAACCUCAUGGCCUUCACUGGCUGUGGGGGGAACCAGGACUUUUACUGUGAAAAAAUUAGAGUGUUCAAAGCAGGCCUUUGCUCGAAUACAUUAGCAUGGAAUAAUAGAAUAGGACGUGCGGUUCUAUUUUGUUGGUUUCUAGGACCGCCGUAAUGAUUAAUAGGGAUAGUCGGGGGCGUCAGUAUUCAGCUGUCAGAGGUGAAAUUCUUGGAUUUGCUGAAGACUAACUACUGCGAAAGCAUUCGCCAAGGAUGUUUUCAUUAAUCAGGGAACGAAAGUUAGGGGAUCGAAGACGAUCAGAUACCGUCGUAGUCUUAACCAUAAACUAUGCCGACUAGGGAUCGGGCGGUGUUUCUAUGAUGACCCGCUCGGCACCUUACGAGAAAUCAAAGUUUUUGGGUUCUGGGGGGAGUAUGGUCGCAAGGCUGAAACUUAAAGAAAUUGACGGAAGGGCACCACAAGGCGUGGAGCCUGCGGCUUAAUUUGACUCAACACGGGGAAACUCACCAGGUCCAGACAAAAUAAAGGAUUGACAGAUUGAGAGCUCUUUCUUGAUCUUUUGGAUGGUGGUGCAUGGCCGUUCUUAGUUGGUGGAGUGAUUUGUCUGCUUAAUUGCGAUAACGAACGAGACCUCGGCCCUUAAAUAGCCCGGUCCGCGUUUGCGGGCCGCUGGCUUCUUAGGGGGACUAUCGGCUCAAAGCCGAUGGAAGUGCGCCGCAAAUAAACAGGUCAGUAAUGCCUUUAGACG
Molecule: ribosomal RNA, 911 nt
Filed under: Aspergillus tamarii
Lineage: Eukaryota; Fungi; Ascomycota; Eurotiomycetes; Eurotiales; Aspergillaceae
Also listed under: 1 other name
Description: SSU rRNA
Rfam family: Eukaryotic small subunit ribosomal RNA
Source: RNAcentral